Molecule: ribosomal RNA, 113 nt
Filed under: uncultured eukaryote
Lineage: Eukaryota
Description: partial small subunit ribosomal RNA
Rfam family: Eukaryotic small subunit ribosomal RNA
Source: RNAcentral
GUCGCACCUACUGAUUGGAUGACUCGGUGAAAACUCGGGACCGCGAAUGUAUUUGAUUUAUUUCGAGUGUUUUCAUGGGAACUUGUUUUAACCUCGUUAUCUAGAAGAAGGUG